RNAcentral lists this ribosomal RNA (328 nucleotides) under uncultured eukaryote. RNAcentral describes it as "partial 18S ribosomal RNA". It matches the Rfam family "Eukaryotic small subunit ribosomal RNA", at positions 1470 to 1796 of the family's 1831-position model. The record is from RNAcentral.
CCCUUAGAUGUUCUGGGCUGCACGCGCGCUACACUGAUGCAUGCAACGAGUUUUCGACCUUGCCUGAAAAGGUUGGGUAAUCUGUUUAACAUGUGUCGUGAUGGGGAUAGACCAUUGCAAUUAUUGAUCUUCAACGAGGAAUUCCUAGUAAGCGCGAGUCAUCAGCUCGUGCUGAUUAUGUCCCUGCCCUUUGUACACACCGCCCGUCGCUCCUACCGAUUGGGUGUGCUGGUGAAAUGUUCGGAUCGGCCGUUUGUCGCGGUUUCCGCGUCAUGUGGCUGAGAAGUUCAUUAAACCCUCCCACCUAGAGGAAGGAGAAGUCGUAACA